Non-coding RNA from Pelobates cultripes (western spadefoot toad), 237 nucleotides. The record is from the annotation of a GenBank genome assembly. NCBI's taxonomy places the organism in Eukaryota, Metazoa, Chordata, Amphibia, Anura, Pelobatidae.
UGAUGGCUCUUCGGCAGAGGUGAUAAUGUUAUAGAACAAUUUAAUACAUUUAUUCCAUUAUUCCUCCAAGCUCAGUGUCUCUUUAAUAACAAAUCCAUUGGACCCAUCACUGCUGUUCAGUUUGGGAAUAUUGAAAGUAAUGUUCAGACGGGUGCUGUGUUGCCAUUUAGGAUGUUAGUAGUACAUGUCAGACGUGAUGGUUUAGAAAGGUUAGCAAUCCCUGUUCCCUGGUUCUCC